Molecule: long non-coding RNA, 1717 nt
Organism: Oncorhynchus keta (chum salmon)
Lineage: Eukaryota; Metazoa; Chordata; Actinopteri; Salmoniformes; Salmonidae
Exons: 3
Source: RefSeq, a predicted model, not a curated record
GGGGGGCAUUUUGGCUCGGGUCAAAAGUAGUGAGUUAUAUUAGGGGGGCAUUUUGGCUCGGGUCAAAAGUAGUGAGUUAUAUUAGGGGGGCAUUUUGGCUCUGGUCAAAAGUAGUGAGUUAUAUUAGGGGGGCAUUUUGGCUCUGGUCAAAAGUAGUUCACAAUAAGCCUUAAACGACUAGACUCUAGGCACUAUUAUCAUGGUCAAGAUCCCUCUAGCACAGUCACUGUAACCUGCCACGAUGGUAAAUUGUGUAUUUCAGACACAUGAACAGGUCCCAGCACUGAAACCCACACACACAGACAAACACACAGAAAUACAAAUCAACAACAGUUAUUAAUAUGAAUCAUGGAGCUGGCAACACUAAGGUUGCAGGUUCAAUUCCCACAUUGGCUACAUUUACUGCGUAAACAGUAUGUGGUAAGAGUAAGUGGCUUUUAGGAUAGAGGCCCCUGCUGAAGUGGCUGAACCACAGAGAGCAGUGUGAGACAGAUUAAACCAGUCUUGGUGUGCGUGCGUGUGUAUGGGUGUGUGUGUUAGCAUCAGAGUCACUCUGUCAUCCCAUGGGAUAAACGGUGCUCCUGAACCGCCCAGAUUACUCCACCUCUCUCUGACAGGCUAUAAAUAGUGACACACCUCAACACACAGCCAGACACAGAGAGAAUGGAUACAUUGCACCUUCUCAGUGAUCACUAGAGCCACCAGAUUAUUACAGGAUGCUAUAUUGAUUACCAGAUCAUCCAUCAUAGCAAUGUCACCUUUUAUUCUAAUUUCCAAUGAACAGAGAAUAUAUCAGUCCAUUAUUUGUAUAAAUAUACCUGAACAGGAGAUACAAUGUGAUUGAUUCAGAUGUCUUCCUGACAUUCAGCUCUCAGAGAGAAAGGAGCAAGAGUGGACAGAUACCUCUGUGAAAAGACAAACCACAAUGCACUGCUGACAUCGCACUGCACUUUACUUUUAAAGGUCAUUUCAAUGACGUUGGCGGAGAUUGCAUUUGGGGUAAAUGCAGUGGAUGUCGGCUAAAACAUGAAUUAAGUUAAGUGCAGUGGAUGUCGGCUCAAACAUGAAUUAAGUCAAGUGCAGUGGAUGUCGGCUCAAACAUGAAUUAAGUCAAGUGCAGUGGAUGUCGGCUCAAACAUGAAUUAAGUCAAGUGCAGUGGAUGUCGGCUCAAACAUGAAUUAAGUCAAGUGCAGUGGAUGUCGGCUCAAACAUGAAUUAAGUCAAGUGCAGUGGAUGUUGGCUGUUUUGUUUGAAUCCCUGCCCAUGGGUUUCAGUGGUGCAGAUGGGUUUUGUUUGAAUCCCUGCCCAUGGGUUUCAGUGGUGCAGAUGGGUUUUGUUUGAAUCCCUGCCCAUGGGUUUCAGUGGUGCAGAUGGGUUUUGUUUGAAUCCCUGCCCAUGGGUUUCAGUGGUGCAGACGGGUUUUGUUUGAAUCCCUGCCCAUGGGUUUCAGUGGUGCAGACAGGUUUUGUUUGAAUCCCUGCCCAUGGGUUUCAGUGGUGCAGAUGGGUUUUGUUUGAAUCCCUGCCCAUGGGUUUCAGUGGUGCAGAUGGGUUUUGUUUGAAUCCCUGCCCAUGGGUUUCAGUGGUGCAGAUGGGUUUUGUUUGAAUCCCUGCCCAUGGGUUUCAGUGGUGCAGACGGGUUUUGUUUGAAUCCCUGCCCAUGGGUUUCAGUGGUGCAGACAGGUUUUGUUUGAAUCCCUGCCCAUGGGUUUCAGUG